Nerophis ophidion (straightnose pipefish) is the source of this 1140-nucleotide long non-coding RNA. RefSeq lists it as uncharacterized. The record is from RefSeq and is a predicted model, not a curated record. NCBI's taxonomy places the organism in Eukaryota, Metazoa, Chordata, Actinopteri, Syngnathiformes, Syngnathidae. The transcript is spliced from 7 exons.
GUUGGCAAGUAUGCACACCUGUGCUCCCUGGGCCUCCAUGCCAGCUACCUGGAAUAACAUCUCAGCUACCUGGAAUAACAUCUCAGCAGCCAUCCUCUUCUUUCAAGCCCAAAGAUAAGAUGAGUAGAUUGUGGCCAUGGAGCUCCUGUGCUGGCAGCUAAAUAUUCAGCACCGCAACUUUUCCCCAAGCGCUGCUGGAUAGCCGUUGCUCUCCUCCAUCUUUGUGGCCGAGUCAUCCUGCUCUGCUGGGUUCUGGUCCUCUGGAGCUUUCUGGCCGGCGCCCUGCUUGUCCCUGAACACCUCCACGCCCAGCAUGCGCAGGUAGUGGUAGCGCUCGUUCCGGGCCACGAAGGCUCGGAUGGACGUCUUGCCUCUCCAGCCGCACAGCCGGAUGGGACACUGAGGCUCCGAGGGCUUCCUGUGCCACAAGAAAGGGAAGAUGAGGGAAGGAGAAGACUGGAGCCUACAGGACAGCUUGCUGAGGAAGGGAUUCUCCUGAGUCAGCAGCACCUUCACAUCCUCCACGCUCAACGUGAUGAUCCUGGAGCGAAUGUACGGCUGCAGAGUGUAGAUGCCCUGAGGAGGGGGGCGGAGUCAGCAGGUCGCUUCAGGCUGAGUAAACAAAGUGAAGCGGAGUCCCAGCGGGCAGCAGUGCGUGUUUGCCAGAGUCCACAGAACAACAGGAGCGCCGCUAUGACAGCUUCGUCCUCAAUGGGGUUGAGUGAACAGGUGGAGUAGACCAUCCUCCCGCCCACAGCCAGCUGCUCCACACCAUGGACCGCUAUACGCAGCUGGAGGCUGGGUACGUCACACAAGAUGCGGUCGUAGAAGAGGACAUCUUUCUUCCCGUUCGUCUGGAUGCGCAGUGUGGGGAUGCAGGAGGCGUCGUGGUUGACCACCACGAUGCACGGGCUGUUGAGGCGCUUGGUCUGGUGCACCAGCAGGUAGCAGCGCUUGUUGUCCACGUCGUUGGCGAUGACGAAGCCCUCUGAAAAUACAGUAUUCACAGCACUCUACUCAUUUUAUGUUACAUCUUUAGUCCAAACUGGAGUAAAUUCAUUUUGUCCUCAAAAUUCUACACACAAUACCCUAUAAUGACAAUGUGAAAACAUUUUUGAGCUUUUUUGCAAAUUUAUUAGA